Molecule: ribosomal RNA, 819 nt
Filed under: Psychrobacter sp.
Lineage: Bacteria; Pseudomonadati; Pseudomonadota; Gammaproteobacteria; Moraxellales; Moraxellaceae
Description: bacterial SSU rRNA
Rfam family: Bacterial small subunit ribosomal RNA
Source: RNAcentral
UUGCUAUCAGGCGUCGAGCGGCGGACGGGUGAGUAAUACUUAGGAAUCUACCUAGUAGUGGGGGAUAGCUCGGGGAAACUCGAAUUAAUACCGCAUACGACCUACGGGAGAAAGGGGGCAACUUGUUGCUCUCGCUAUUAGAUGAGCCUAAGUCGGAUUAGCUAGAUGGUGGGGUAAAGGCCUACCAUGGCGACGAUCUGUAGCUGGUCUGAGAGGAUGAUCAGCCACACCGGGACUGAGACACGGCCCGGACUCCUACGGGAGGCAGCAGUGGGGAAUAUUGGACAAUGGGGGCAACCCUGAUCCAGCCAUGCCGCGUGUGUGAAGAAGGCCUUUUGGUUGUAAAGCACUUUAAGCAGUGAAGAAGACUCCAUGGUUAAUACCCAUGGACGAUGACAUUAGCUGCAGAAUAAGCACCGGCUAACUCUGUGCCAGCAGCCGCGGUAAUACAGAGGGUGCAAGCGUUAAUCGGAAUUACUGGGCGUAAAGCGAGCGUAGGUGGCUUGAUAAGUCAGAUGUGAAAUCCCCGGGCUUAACCUGGGAACUGCAUCUGAUACUGUUAGGCUAGAAUAGGUGAGAGGAAGGUAGAAUUCCAGGUGUAGCGGUGAAAUGCGUAGAGAUCUGGAGGAAUACCGAUGGCGAAGGCAGCCUUCUGGCAUCAUAUUGACACUGAGGUUCGAAAGCGUGGGUAGCAAACAGGAUUAGAUACCCUGGUAGUCCACGCCGUAAACGAUGUCUACUAGUCGUUGGGUCCCUUGAGGACUUAGUGACGCAGCUAACGCAAUAAGUAGACCGCCUGGGGAGUACGGCCGCAAGGUU